UACGAAAGGGGCUAGCGUUGUUCGGAAUUACUGGGCGUAAAGCGCGCGUAGGCGGGCUAGCAAGUUGGGGGUGAAAUCCCGGGGCUCAACCUCGGAACUGCCUCCAAAACUGCUAGCCUAGAGGAUGUGAGAGGAUAGUGGAAUUCCGAGUGUAGAGGUGAAAUUCGUAGAUAUUCGGAAGAACACCAGUGGCGAAGGCGACUGUCUGGCGCAUUUCUGACGCUGAGGUGCGAAAGUGUGGGGAGCAAACAGG
RNAcentral lists this ribosomal RNA (253 nucleotides) under uncultured bacterium. Its description in RNAcentral is "partial 16S ribosomal RNA". It matches the Rfam family "Bacterial small subunit ribosomal RNA", at positions 524 to 776 of the family's 1533-position model. The record is from RNAcentral.